GCACGAGUUGCGAAUACGGUAUCGCAACCUGAUUAUUACAUCAGAGGCAGAAAUGCAUGUGGGUUCGAAUCCCUCCUCGUGUA
RNAcentral lists this transfer RNA (83 nucleotides) under Butyrivibrio sp. Its description in RNAcentral is "tRNA-Asn". It matches the Rfam family "tRNA". From Rfam's summary of the family: Transfer RNA (tRNA) molecules are approximately 80 nucleotides in length. Their secondary structure includes four short double-helical elements and three loops (D, anti-codon, and T loops). Further hydrogen bonds mediate the characteristic L-shaped molecular structure. tRNAs have two regions of fundamental functional importance: the anti-codon, which is responsible for specific mRNA codon recognition, and the 3' end, to which the tRNAs corresponding amino acid is attached (by aminoacyl-tRNA synthetases). tRNAs cope with the degeneracy of the genetic code in two manners: having more than one tRNA (with a specific anti-codon) for a particular amino acid; and 'wobble' base-pairing, i.e. permitting non-standard base-pairing at the 3rd anti-codon position. The record is from RNAcentral. Lineage: Bacteria; Bacillati; Bacillota; Clostridia; Lachnospirales; Lachnospiraceae. RNAcentral also lists the same sequence under 1 other name.